This 520-nucleotide ribosomal RNA is filed under the name uncultured Glomeraceae. RNAcentral's name for it is "SSU rRNA". It matches the Rfam family "Eukaryotic small subunit ribosomal RNA", at positions 569 to 1083 of the family's 1831-position model. The record is from RNAcentral. Lineage: Eukaryota; Fungi; Glomeromycota; Glomeromycetes; Glomerales; Glomeraceae.
AGCAGCCGCGGUAAUUCCAGCUCCAAUAGCGUAUAUUAAAGUUGUUGCAGUUAAAAAGCUCGUAGUUGAAUUUCGGGGUUAGCAGGUCGGUCGUGCCAUCGGUAUGAACUGGUCUCGCUGAUCCCUCCCUCUUGACGAACUGUGAUGCCAUUAAUUUGGUGUCGCAGGGAAUCAGGACUGUUACUUUGAAAAAUUAGAGUGUUUAAAGCAGGCUCACGCUUGAAUACAUUAGCAUGGAAUAAUGAAAUAGGACGUUUGAUUCCUAUUUUGUUGGUUUCUAGGAUUGACGUAAUGAUUAAUAGGGAUAGUUGGGGGCAGUUAGUAUUCAAUUUGUCAGAGGUGAAAUUCUUGGAUUUAUUGAAGACUAACUACUGCGAAAGCAUUUGCCUAAGGAUGUUUUACAUUAAUCAAAGAACGAAAGUUAGGGGAUCGAAGACGAUACAGAUACCGUCGUAGUACUUAGACCAUAAACUAUGCCGACGUAGGAUCGGAUGAAUUGUUAAUUUUUAAGUGUACUCUA